Molecule: ribosomal RNA, 210 nt
Filed under: Candidatus Woesearchaeota archaeon
Lineage: Archaea; Nanobdellati; Candidatus Woesearchaeota
Description: partial 23S ribosomal RNA
Rfam family: Archaeal large subunit ribosomal RNA
Source: RNAcentral
AUGCUGGUGUAAAGACGCCAGUAAGUGGAUUGCUAGGCUUGAGGAGAGAUGAAGGACGUGGCAAGCUGCGAUAAGCCCGGGGUAGGCGCACGCGACCUUUGAUCCCGGGAUGUCCGAAUGAGAAUCUUACACAUUUGUGUAUUCCAGUACACUAGUAUUGGAAGUCGAACCGUGGGAAUUGAAGCAUCUUAGUACCACGAGGAAAAGAAA